Long non-coding RNA from Cavia porcellus (domestic guinea pig), 611 nucleotides. RefSeq lists it as uncharacterized. The record is from RefSeq and is a predicted model, not a curated record. The transcript is spliced from 3 exons. NCBI's taxonomy places the organism in Eukaryota, Metazoa, Chordata, Mammalia, Rodentia, Caviidae.
UCUGUCUCCAGACUUGGGGCUUCAGCACCACACAGGAGACGCGACUCUUCUGAUGCUGCCGGCCCAAGUGUCAGCAGCACCCUGAGGGUCCCCGCAGCUUUGUGUUCCCAGAACUGAUGAUUUGUUUGACAACGGGCUUUCCUUCCAGACGGUUCUUCCAGCCUGGCACAGCAUGACUAGGAUCAAGAAUGGAGCAAGUGAGAGAAACAGUUAAGGAGUUGAAGGUUGGACAUAGAAUAAGAGUCCAAGGAUAGCUAGCGAAAGCAGCAGGAAGUGGUUACUGUCAGCACCAGAGCAAAAGAAGAGACAGGAAGAAACUAGAACCCAAAGAGGAUCGAAGGGGCAAUGAUACGGGGAAGGCCUCCUCAUCUUCGAGCAUGACACAAGCAGUUGUCCACGUUCUGAGUGAGCAGGAGAGUAGUGACCACACCAUGAUGCUCUCCUGCCGGGAUGUGUUGCCUGCCCAGGCCUAAAAGCAGUGUGUCCACCUGAUCUUGGACUGCAGCCUCCAAAACCAUGGGUGAAAAUAAACCUUUCCUCUUUAUAAGCUGAUUAUCUUGGGUAUUUUUUAUAAUGACACAAAGCUGACUAAUAUAGACAAUAUUAACCAA